GAAAGAAAGAAAACCAAAUACCGUAUGCUAACACAUAUAUAUGGAAUUUAAAAAAAAAAAAGGUCAUGAAGAAUCUAGGGGCAAGAUGGGAAUAAAGACACAGACCUACUAGAGAAUGUACCUGAGCACACGGGGAGGGGGAAGGGUAAGCUGGGACAAAGUGACAGAGUGGUAGUGUAUAUAUGGACAUAUAUACACUACCAAAUGUAAAAUAGAUAGCUAGUGGGAAGCAGUAGCACAGCACAGGUAGAUCAGCUCGGUGCUUUGUGACAAGCUAGAAAGGUGGGAUAGGGAGGGUGGGAUGGAGAUGAAAGUGGGAGCAGAUAUGGGGAUAUAUGUAUAUGUAUAAGUGAUUCACUUCGUUACACAGCAGAAACUAACACACCAUUGUAAAGUAAUUAUACUCCAAUAAAAAUGUAAAAAAAAAGUGUCAUUAGCAAUAAUAUAAAAAUAUGGAUAAAUUUUCAAAGGAUACGAAAGACUUGUACACUGAAAACUAUAAAAUACUGCUGAGAAAAAGAAGAUAGGUAAAUGGAGAGAUAUACCUUCUUUAUGAUUGAAAGACUCAAUAUUAUUAAGGUGUCAAUUCUCCCCAAGUUUAACUACAGAUUAGGUGCAGUACUAACCAAAAUCCCAGCAAGCUUUUUUGAAAACAUUGUCUUACUGAUUCUAAAAUUCACAUAGAAAUUCAAAGAACUAGAACAGUCAAAAUAACUCUGAAAAAGAAGAACAAAUUUGGAAGGCUAAUGCUACCUAAUCAUAAGAGUUAUUAUAAAGCUACAGUAAAUCAAAACAGUGGUUUUUUUGUUGUUUUGUUUUCGGUCACACCUUAUGACCUGUGGCAUCUUAGUUCCCCAGUCAAGGAUCGAAGUUGGGCCAUGGCAGUGAAACCACUGAGUCCUAACCGCUGGACCGCCAGGGAAUUCCCAAAACAGUUUUUUUUUAAUAUAAAUUUGUUUAAUUUGUGGGGGGGCGCCUACGUUGGUUAUUCGUUGCUGCGCAUGGGCCUUCUGUAGUUGCGCCGAGUGGGGGCUGCUCUUUGUUGUGGUGUGCGGGCUUCUCGUGACUUCUCUUGUUGCGGAGCACCAGCUCUAGGCGCGCGGGCUCUAUAACUCAGGCUCAGUAGUUGUAGCACCGGGGCUUAGUUGUUCUAUGGCACAUGGGAUCUUCCCAGACCAGGAAUCAAACCCGUGGCCCCUGCAUUGGCAGGCAGAUUCUUAACCACUGCGCCACCAGGGAAGUCCCAACAGUUUGGUUUUGACAUAAAGAUAGGCACAUAUAUCAAAGGAACAGUAUAGAGUCCCAAAAAACCCCACACAUGUAUAGACAAUUGAUUUUUAACAGAGGCAUAAAGGCAAUUUAUUGGAGAAAGGAUACCAUUCCAACAUUGGUGCUUAGACAGUUGGACAUCCAUAUGCAAAAAUAAACAAACUUGGAUCCAUAUCUCACACCAUACAGAAACUAACUCUAGAUGAAUCAUAGACCUAAAUGUCAAACCUCAAAUUAUAAAAUUUCUAAAAGAAAACAGAAGAAACCCUUUGUGACCUUGACUUAGGCAAUAAAAGCACAGAACAAACUGAUAAAUUGGACUUCAUCAAAAUUAAAAACUCCUGCUCCUCAAAUGACACUGUUAGGAAAAUGAAAAAGCAAAGCAUAAUGUAGGAGAAAACCAUUGCAACGCAUAUAUGUGAUAAAGAACUUGAAUCAAGAAUAUGUAAAGAACUCUCAAAAAUCAAUAAGAAAACAGCACAAUUUUUUAAAUGAGUAAAGGAUUUGAACAGGCAUGUCAUCAAAGAAGAUAUCUGCAUGGCAAAUAAGAACAUGAAAAACUGGCUCAACAUCAUUGGUCAUUGAGGAAAUGCAAAUAUAAAAUGGAACAAGAUUCCACUACACACACACCUAUCAGAAUAGCUAAAGUUAGAAAGACUGACCAUAUCAAAUAUUGGCAAGGAUGCAUUUUGCUUUCUUCUUGGUGGUGGGAGGUGCAAGAUGCAAUAAUUUGUCUUCUGUUUUGGAGGUGAUGUCCCAGACUACUGGACCCCUAAAAGUUAUAUUGAUGUGGUGGCCCCCAAAUCUUCAUAGGAUUUUUCUCCCAGCCAUUGUAGCACAUGACAAAGACUCCAUCAUGCUAGCCAUUUAUUGCUUAUUUGGUCCAAUUAAUAUGAUGUCAUCAAUAUAGUGGACCAAUGUGGUAUUCUGAAGAAUGUCCAGAUUACUUGGAUCUCUUUAUUUUAUAGUUUGACCGAAGUCAUGAGAGUUAAGAUAGCUUUGGGCAAAACUGUAAAUGUGUACUGUUGUCCAUUUCAAAUGAAUGUGAACUGUUUUUGAGAUUAAGGAUUGUCUAAUGUUUACAAACUCUUUUAACCCUGUUGUAAUAUGCAAAGCAUCUGUUCAUUUAGUUCACACUGUUUAACCCUAGUAUAUGACCGAACAUAAGUCAGCAUAUCCAAGUACCCCAUAUGGUAGAGACAAUUUUUGGUCAUUUUAUCCCUAAUACAAUCUAAUUUCUGCCUCACCAGACAGCACUCACAACUAUGUACAUCUCAGAGAGAAAACUUGUAUGUAUACUCCAUCGAAGUACAAUAAUUUUCCAUGCUUUUUUUAAAUUGAGAAAAUGGUUUGUAUCUAGAGAACUGGUGUUCAGAUCAAAGUGCUCUCUCAACAGCAAUUUAUUGAAUCCUCUCUAUAUGCCAAAACCUGUGGGUAGAAAUAGAAUGUACAGAAAUAAAUGAGAUAAUGUCUGCCUUUGGGAGGCUCUCAAAGUAACUGGAGAAACACUUCAAACAGUUAAGGGGUAGUACUGUAUUGAACAUACUGUAAAGAUGGGACCAGAAUGCUAAGGGAAAAGGAAGUAACUCCUCAUGCCUGGAGGAGUUUAGGAAGGACAUGGUACAUAAGUUGAGCACUAAAUAGUAACUAUUUAUCUGACGAAAAAGGGGGCAGGUGAGGGCAUUUCCAGGCAGUGAACAUUAGCCCUAUUAGUGAGUUUGUUAGUAACUUUGGAGCAUACUUGAAGCCAAGAGGGUUGUUCUCUCCUUUCCUACAGAGAACCAAAGCAAGUGGUUAGACAGCUUUAUGUGCUAGGUUAUGAAAAUCUGAAUCUAGGUUAUAGACUUUCAACAAUGGAGCAGCUGCUAGCCAAGGCAGGGGCUAAGGCGAAAGACUGCCUGAAAUCAUUCCUUUUUUUUUUUUUUUUUUUUUUUUUUGCGGUACGCGGGCCUCUCACUGUUGUGGCCUCUCCCGUUGCGGAGCACAGGCUCUGCAGCCAGGCUCAUCGGCCAUGGCUCACGGGCCCAGCCGCUCCGCGGCACGUGGGAUCUUCCCGGACCGGGGCACGAACCUGUGUCCCCUGCAUCGGCAGGCAGACUCUCAACCACUGCGCCACCAGGGAAGCCCUGAAAUCAUUCUUAAAUACGUGCUCAUGUGAGAAUGUCUGGCUUCCUAGGGUUUGUACUGUCUAGGGUGGUGUAAUAACCCAGCCAUCAGGAAUGAGCCUCCCAUUCCCUUGGAAUACAUUUUCACAGCUUUAAAAUUUUUUUACUCCUUUACAAAUUCAUGAAGAAUGAGGAACCCAAUGACAAUUUAGAGUUGGGCUCCUUGGUGGAGUGAGGGCUGCUUUUUUUCUCAAAGGAUGCUUAACAACCCUUGAUAGUUUGGGGCAUCACAAUUGAAUGCUGGCAAAGUAAAUUUUUUUAAAAUGUUGAAAACAUGAUUCAUACAAACACAGAAUGAACAUAUGUCAAGAUUUAUUAACUUAUUAAUAAGGGAGCCAGUAAGUUAAAGCUGGUUAUAAGAGCAUGUUGAGGAACUGGGUAUUCAUAGACAUUUAUAAAAGAAAACUAGGAGUAAAAAAGGAAUGUUAGAAUUAAAACGUUAGAUUAGAUAUAAAACUGGUUCAUAUCCAGGAGGGCAUUCAAACUGUUCCCUUUGGGGUUAUCUUUUCUGCUGGAUAAUAUCUAGCAUAUAACUUCAGAGUCUAAGCCUAUACUUGAUAGUAAUAACAAUGCUACAUUCCCUUAGGUUAGGUAAUGAAUUAACUCUUAGAUGAGACCACCAUCCAUCCCCAGUAAUGCAUUGAAAGUACAUGCCACCUACCUUCUUGCCUUUUUUCCAAGUAAUUUUUCUUAACAACAUUUCAUAUUUCUUCAGCCAGGCAUUUGAGUUCUCUUCCCCCACCCAGCCCACAUCUGUCCCAGCAUGCCUUUUUAACUCCAGCUGCCCUCUACACCUUACCAUCCAUGUAUACCACUCUCUUCUACUUUAGAACUAUUGUCCACCUUCUCCCAUCAACCAAAGACCCUGCCGUUCAUUGCCAGAGGUCAGAGUACAACUUAUCCUUCAAGGGCAAGUGCACUUGGCACUCUCUCCUCAGAAUCAGUGCUGUAAUAAAUUGAAUCACCCUUGACACCCUUCCAAAUUACUUAGUACCAAUCUUUCUUGGCUGGUCUAAAAAAAAUGGUUUCUUGGGAUUUCACUAUUUUAUAUGCUUGGAACCUCUCUAGAGACAGCCUGCUGAAAAACUAAGUCUUCAGCUAUUAAGGCAUUUGGUCCUGUUUAAUUGGAUUUGAUGGCUUGGGCACACCUGCACUAAAGCUUUCAAAUGAAAUGCGCGUUCUGUUGCAUGAGCCUAAUUUAAAACUGGCCCAAGGGGACAUUUUGUACAAUUGGUGGAAAUUUUGUGAUAUCAUGUUGAGACUUAAAAUGACUAAAUUCAGCUUUGACAGAUAUUUUUUCUUUUCUUUUUGGCUGCAUUGGGUCUUCGUUGCUACACGUGGGCUUCUCUCUAAUUGCGGAGAGCAGGGGCUACUCUUCAUUGUGUGCGCAGGCUUCUCAUUGCGGUGGCUUCUCUUGUUGCGGAGCACGGUCUCUAGGCACACUGGCUUCAAUGGUUGUAGUUCGCAGGCUCUAGAGCGCAGGCUCAGUAGUUGUGGCACACAGGCUUAGUUGCUCUGCAGCAUGUGGGAUCUUCCCGGACAAGGGCUUGAACCCAUGUCCCCUGCAUUGGCAGGCAGAUUCUUAACCACUGCGCCGCCAGGGAAGCCCUUGACUGAAUUUUUUUUUUUUUAACAUCUUUAUUGGGGUAUCAUUGCUUUACAAUUUGACUGAAUUUUUGAUGCAAAAAAAAAAUCAAGGAACUUUGGAAAUUGGGCCACAAAAAGGAUGAUAUACCAUUAAUUCUGGCAGUUGAUAAUGGGACAACUGCAUAUCCACAUGCAAAAGAAUGAAUUUGUCAUACUAAGUGAAGUAAGCCAGACAAAGAUAAACAUCAUAUGAUAUCGCUUAUACAUGGAAUCUAAAAAAAAUGAUACAAAUGAACUUAUUUACAAAAUAGAAAUAGACUCACAGACAUAGAAAACAAACACAGUUACCAAAGGGAAAAGAGGGGUGAGGGAUAAAUGAGGCGUUUCAGAUUAAAAUGUACAAACUACUAUAUAUAAAAUAGAUAACCAACAAAGACCUACAACAAAGACCUAUAGUUCCCUAUAGCACAGGGAACUAUACUCAAUGUCUUGUAAUAACCUAUAAUGGACAAAAUAACGUAAAAAAAGAAUAUAUAUAUUUAUGUAUAUGUAUAAGUGAAUCACUUUGCUGUACAUCUGAAACUAACACAACGUUAUAAAUCAACUCUAUUUCAGUAAGGAAAAAUUUUAAUGCAAAAAAAAAAAAAAGAAAGAAUGAAUUUGGACUACUAUCUCACAAAAUUAACUCAGAAUGGACCAAAGACCUACAUAAAACUGUAAAACUCUUAGAUGAAAACAUAGGUGUAAAUCUUCAUGACCAUGAAUUUGUCAAUGUUUUCUUAGAUAUGGUACCAAAAGUACAAGUAAAAGAAAAAAAAACUGGACUUCAUCAAAAUUUAUAACUUUUGUGCUUCAAAGGACACCACCAAGAAACUGAACCCACAUAUAGGAGAAAAUAUUUGCAAAUCAUAUAUCUGAUAAUAGACAUGUAUCUAGACUAUAUAAACUCUUACAACUUAAUAAUGAAAGAUAACCCGUUAAAAAUGGACAAAGGACUUGAAUAGACAUUUCUACAAAGAAGAUAUUAAAGUGGCUAAUAAGCACAUGAAAAGACACUCAGCAUCAUUAGUCAUUAUGGAAAUGGAAAUCAAAACCAAAUGAGAUACUACUUCAUACCCCCUGGGGCGGCUGUAAUAAAAAAGACAGAUAAUAACUGUUGUUUAGAAUGUGGAGAAAUUGAAACCCUUAUACACUGCUGAGGGAAGAUAAAAUGGUAGAGCCACUUUGGAAAACAGUCUGGCAACUACUCAAAAGGUUAAACGUAGAGCUACUAUUUGACCCAGCAAUUCCACUCCUAGGUAUAUACCAAGAGGAAUGUAUAUGUAUGUCUACACAAAAGCUUUUAUUUGGGUCAUAACAACACUAUUCAUAAUAGCCAAAAAGUGGAAACAAUCCAAAUUUCCAUCAGCUGAAGAAUGGAUGAACAAUUGUGGUAUACCCAUCAAUUAAAUGUUAUUCCUCUAUAAAAAGGAAUGCAAUACUGAUACGUGCUACAAUAAUAGAUUAACCUUAAAAACAUGCUAAAUGAAAGAAGUCAGUCACCAAACACCACAUAUUGUGUGAUUUCAUUUAUGUAAAGUGGCCAGAAUAGGCAAAUCUCUAGAGACAGAAAGUAGAGUGGUAGUUGCCUGUGGCUGGGGGAGAUAGAAUGAGGAAAUGGGGAGCAACUGCUAAUAAGUUCAGAGUUUUUAAGAGGGUAACAAAAUGGCCUAAUAUUAGAUUGUGGUGAUGAUUGCACCACACUAUGAAUAUACUAAAAAGAGUUGAAUAGUUGUGAUAGAGACCAUGUGGUCCACAAAGCCUAAUAUAUUUAGUAUUGAGCUCUUUACAGGAAAGUUUGCCAAUUUCUCCCUUAUAGUAAGUUUUAAAUUGAAAUGUGUGAGUCCUCCAACUCUUUUCUUCUUUGUAAAAAUUGUUUUGGCUACCCUGGGUCCUUUGCAUUUCCAUAUAAUUUUUUUUUUUUUUUUUGCGGUACGCGGACCUCUCACUGUUGUGGCCUCUCCGGUUGUGGAGCGCAGGCUCCGGACACACAGGCUCAUCGGCCAUGGCUCACGGGCCCAGCCGCUCCGCGGCAUGUGGGAUCUUCCCGGACCGGAGCACGAACCCUUGUCCCCUGCAUCGGCAGGCAGACUCCCCAGGCGGACUCCCAACCACUGCACCACCAGGGAAGCCCAUCCAUAUAAAUUUUAAGAUCAGCUUGUCAGUUUUUCCAGAAAGGUCUGCUGGAUUUUGAUAGUGAUUGUGUUAAAUUUAUAAGUCAAAUUGAGGAGAUCAUUUUUUAAUUAAUCUCAAAUUGUCUGAUAUUUUACUGGUGAAAACCUCUUCAACUGUCUUAUGUGUCCUUUUGAUAAGAACUAUAUAAUUUUUGACCACUGCCUUGCUUUCUGGCAUAAAUUAUUCAAGCUCAUUUCAUAAUUGUUCUUGUCACAGCCAAGGAGUUCUGGUUCUUUCAGUGGAGUCAAUAUUUUGGUUCUUGCUACAUUGCUAUUGGGGAUGUUACUGCUCCAAAGCCCUCUCAGUGCACAGAGCUAGGGUAUAUUUGAAUAUAAAUAAAUAGAUACAUACAUAAGUAAAUCCCCUAUAUACACACACAUACACAUUUAUAUCUAUUUAUUAUUUAUGUCAUUGUAUGUGUAUAUUUGUUUUCUUUUUUUUUUUUUUCCGGUACGCGGGCCUCUCAUUGUUGUGGCCUCUCCCGUUGCGGAGCACAGGCUCCGGACGCGCAGGCUCAGCGGCUGUGGCUCACGGGCCCAGCCACUCCGCGGCAUGUGGGAUCUUCCCCGACCGGGGCACGAACCCGUGCCCCCUGCAUCGGCAGGCGGACUCUCAACCACUGCGCCACCAGGGAAUCCCUGUAUGUGUAUAUUUGUAUAUUAUAUAUGUAUAUACCUAUAUUAACAUUCAUGAGUAGUUCACACUGAAUCUGCUAGUUCUAAUCCAAUACCGCAGAGUUCUUCCAGUUUUCUUCAUUUCCAUAUUUGUUACUCCCUUCUUUGCAAUGAGAAACCUGGCUUACAUAUUCUGUGAUAUACCUAUAUGUUUAUAUAUUUUAUAUAAAUAGAUAGUUAUAGCUGUGUCUGUAUCUAUACACUAUAUACUGUAUUAGUCUAUAUAUAUUUAUGUAUGGUAGGAUUGGACUUUCCACCAUCUCUGUGACUAUCAGAGACAGACUGUCUUCUUUCCUCAUGUUCUAACUGGGACCCCAAGCGGUCAAGGAACAUUCCCAAGAUCAUUCUAUUAGUGAUGGACACAGGCCUUGCUGAACACAGGCCUCCCCACCCCCUGAUGGGUUUGAUUGUUUCCUGUGAUUCCACAGCAAGCAUAGACCUGACUCCGAGUAGGAGGAUGUCUUAGGUUGGCUGCCCUUGAAACAGACUCUGAGCUGCAGAGAGUUUGUUCCACAAACUUGUACAGCAAGUCUGUUAGAGAACAUGCUCAGUAGACACAACUGUAAGGGGCAAAGGAGACAGAACUGGGCAGAAAGAGAAGCCAACCAAGGUUGGAAAUGAGACCUCAGAUCACCCUACAAGCAGAUCUGGAGCUGGGGUAGCCCCCGAAGUUGACUCAAGUUGUGAGAUGAGGAGCUGGCUUUUUUAUCUCCACAUCAGCCCACCAUGGGCUAUGGGCUGGCCCCUGGAACGGGUCAUAGCCUGCAUGGCCAGUUCCCUGUAGCUGAGGGCAGUUUCCAGUGAGAAGUGCAGCUAUGAACUGUCAACAAUUAAUACAGCAGCUGAGGGAUGGGUGCGUCAGCUCUGAAGAGGGGAUGGGAUAGAGCCCCACAGAAUCCACUAGAGGGAAAGAAGUCUAGCCUGCAGGCAGUGAUGUCAGACAAGUAUUCAGCAUCGCACAGGAGGUGGAGCUCAAGGAGCAGAAUCAGAACAGGCAAGGACAGCUGGCAUUUUGGCGCUAGAAACGGGUCCUGGGAACAGCUUACUGGGCAUGAAGAGAGCACAUGGUGUGAGAAGGUUCUGAGCUGGACCUUUUACUUCAGGCCUGUGUGUUUAGGGGCUGAAUGGUCCAAGUAAAAAGAAAUCGCAGGAUCUCUCUGAGUUGCUUCCUUUCAGUUCAUCAACUUCAAGUGGCAGUUGUGAUUUAGUUAUGUGUUGCUUUCCUCCUUGAGUAUUGAACUUAAGACAGUUGAUAAAUUGACCUCAUAAAAAAAUAUAAGCUCAAGGGGAAUUCCCUGGCUGUCCAGUGGUUAAGACUUGGGCUUGGGACUUCCCUGGUGGUGCAGUGGUUAAGAAUCCAUCUGCCAAUGCAGGGAACACAGGUUUGAUCCCUGGUCCGGGAAGAUCCCACAUGCCACGGAGCAACUACGCCUGCGUGCCACAAUUACUGAGCCUGUGCUCCUAGAGUCCAUGCUCCACAACAAGAGAAGCCCCCGCUCGCCGCAACAAGAGAAAGCCUACACGCAGUAACCAAAACCCAACACAGCCAAAAAAAAAAAAAAAAAAAAGACUCGGGCUUUAACUGCCGUGGACCCAAGUUCAAUCCCUGGUUGGGGAACUAAGGUCCCACAAGCUGUGCAGUGUGGCAAAAAUAUUCUGAUUUUUACAAUGGAGUCUUAGUCUGAGACUGGUUAUGAUCCUUGGAUACUUCUACCAGCCACUUAAAGACAACAUAAAAUUGUGUUGAUGCUACUCUGAGGUCAGCUCAGCCCACAGGUAAGUCCUAGAAGGAGGUACUUUUCUGUUCUAGUCAGGAGUCUUUGUCUUCUGUGGGAUUUGUGCCUAUUCUCCCCGUAUCACAUGGGGUUCACUUCCUUCUUGUGCUGAAUCCACUUGUGUUUAAUCCAUUGACUAUUCUCUCAGCCCCUCUCUGCAUUAACUCUGUUCCAUGGGAGAGCCCAGAGGACACUCCUUUUAUCAAAGCAGUCAAGAAUGCACUAUAGGGACUUCCCUGGUGGCUCAGUGGUUAAGACUCCGCACUCCCAAUGCAGGGGGCCCGGAUUCAAUGCCUGGUCAGGGAACUAGAUCCCACAUACAUGCCACAGCUAAGAGUUCUCAUGCCACAACUAAGGAACCGGUGAGCUGCAACUAAGGAGCCCACCUGCCGCAACUAAGACCCAGCACAACCAAAUUAAUCAAUCAAUCAAUUAAUUAAUUUUUUUUAAAAAAGAAAAGAAUGCACUGGCGAGGGGCUUCCCUGGUGGUCCAGUGGUUAAGACUCUGUGCUUCCAAUGCAGGGGGUGUGGGUAUGAUCCCUGGUCAGGGAACUAAAAAUCCGAUAUGUCUCGCAGAGUGGCCAAAAAAAAAAAAAAAAUGCACUGGUGAGAGAGACACCAGCAUCAAGGAAAAACAGUGGUGACUGGUCUACGGAGGCUGGGGCUAACAGUAGGAGAUGCUCUUAGACUAUCAGCUUCAUCAUAGGUUGCAAAGAUAAUAGAGGUCAAGUGGUAUAGCACUUAACUCUAAGAAGAAAAGUGAGUACAAUUAUUUUAAUUAAAGAAAUGCAGAAAGCUCUACAACUGGUUAAUAGAAAUGGGGUAUAGUCAUCAUCUUACUUCAUCUUCCCAGCAGCCCAGUGAAGCCAUUUUACAGAGAAGCAAAUCAAUGCUGGGAAGGACCAAUACCUUUGCCCAAGAUCCACUGAAAGAUGCAGACCUGGACUCAACUGCAUGGCCACCUGUCACCCAAGUCCAAGCAUUAGCAUCACACCAUGCUGCUUAUGGAAGAAGUGUGAGACACAGUUCCAACCCCUCCAGUAGCUAACAGGUCUCUGGGAGACAGGAUCAGUAUGAACAGAUUCAGAGGAGGAACAGAGAUAAUGUUUGUUGAAACUUGAUUCUAUGGGAUUUUCAUCAGAACUCAGAGGUUGGCACUUACCACACGGACCUACUGUAUGGAGCAGGUGGAUUGGUCAGCACAAGGGGGUGCUGUGGUGCAUCGCCCGAAUUCCCCUUCUGGACCCAAGCCACGUGGCAUGUGUGAUCCUAGUUCCCCGACCAGGGAUUGAACCUGUGCCCCCUGCAUUGGAAACUUGGAGUCUUAACCACUGGACCGCAAGGGAAGUCCCUGUAUCAUAUUUUAGAUUUCACAUGUAAGUGAUGUCAUAUGAUAUUUAUCUUUCUCUUUCUGACUUACUUCACUUAGUAUGAUAAUCUCUAGGUCCAUCCAUGUUUCUGCAAAUGGCUUUAUUUCAUUCUUUUUUAUGGCUGAUACUCUUGCCUUUUUUGUUCUGCUCUCAAGUGAUUAUCUAACAAGAGCUAGGCAUUCUUGGGCAAUAGUCAGGGGAUAGAAGAGGCAAAAUUAUUGAAUAAAAAUUGUCAAUACUCCCACUGCCUCUAUCAUUUAUCUGAAUUCAAAACUUGGGGCAGAAUGCCCUGGUCUUAAUUUAACUUUACCCUUAACAGAAAUGAGCCCAAGACAGGGAGAGACAGCAAGCCCUCUCCAAGAGUAUAGAAGGGUAAUGCCUUUUUCUUAUAAAGGGACAGAGGGCUAUUGGUGAUCCAGGCCUAGACUUGGGCCAACCAAUGUUAGAAAAUUUAUGGGCAAUGAAGAACUGGAAACAUGUAUCAAAGCCCUAAGAAGGCCUUCUCAUGCCCCAGUGGAAUCAGAUCCUGGUUUGAAGACCACACACACAUCUUGGUCAUAGUGGAGCUGGUGAAGUGAUAUUGCCUCUUCACUCUACCAGAUUCAGAAGGACUUGGAGGUAAAUCCCUCGGCCAGAAAAGGGAGGGACUAUGACCUUUUAAUGAGUAAUUAAUAAUAAUAAUAAUAGCUUUUCUUAACUUAUUCAUAGGUUUUCAUGAAUAUACUGUUAACUUUUUAUUAUUUAUGCUUAGUGCUCACACACACUGGUUUUCAUGUUUUCUUGACAUUAAAAUUGACAAGAGAUAUCUUUUAAUUCUUUUAAUAGUUAGCCAAAAUUUGAUUUUCUCUUCAGAACUUUUUUGUUUGAAGAUCUGUAAUCAUUUUGUGACUUUGUUUAAGUUCCUAUAUUGAGAUCACCCCAGAACACUUUUUAAAGGAGCAAUCUACCUAAACUGUUACACUUGGGAAAUGGCUCAAGAGAAGCUAAUUUAUCAACAUAAUGAAAUACCAUGCAGUCAACAGAAAUGGCAAUGUUGAAGGCAAAUGAUGUGGUUGUGUACAAUAGCAUUUUAAAAAAUUUUAUUGGAGCAUAAUAGAUUUACAAUGUUGUAUUAGUUUUAGGUGUACCACAUAGUGAUUUAGUUAUACAUACACAUAUAUUCAUUCUUUUUCAGAUUUUUUUCCCAUAUAAGUUAUUACAGAAUAUUGAGUAUAGUUCCCCAUGCUAUACAGUAAGUCCUUAUUGGUUAUCUAUUUUAUAUAUAGUAGAGUGUGUAUGUUAAUUCCAAGCUUACAAAGCAUCUUAAAUGCAGAAACUAGAACACUGAUAUCAGUGAGUCAGGUUAUGUUGGUUCAGAGCUGAAUUGGAGAAAUUUAACAUAUUAAGUGGAAGAUAUAUGAGGAAUUUUUUCCCUUAAAUCAUUUUCUUAAUGUGGUCAAAAUAUGUGUUGUACAAUAAAAAUAUGCAGUGAAUGUUGAGAGCAGUGAUCACUGUUAAUGAGUAAACAAAAGUGUUCCUUGCAAAUUAAUUAGUAAGUAAAAGAACUUUCAAAGGGCAACGAGCUUAAGUUAUAAAAGGGAGAGUUGGUUAUAGAAAAACCUAUUUGGCAAAAGGCUGCCAAAGAGACCCUAAAACAUCUCUCCAGGGGGUAAAUUCAAGAAAGGCCAAAGUAAUAGGCUUAUGGGGUAAUGAAAAAAUCUGCAGAAUGAAGGUCCAAGGACCUGUUGCUAAUGAUAAGCUUGAAUAUUUUGACAUCCCCUUUCAAAGCAAGAAAACUAGCCAAGGCAAAGGGAAAUGUAGUGUGUAUAAACUCAACAACCACAUAUCAAAUAUGUGUAAACCUCUGCCUCUGUGUUUCAGCAUUUGCCCCCUCUCAAGUUUCUCCUCUUUCCUCUUUCCCUCCUUCCUGGGAUCCUGGGUAAGGAAGCUUGAAUAGGGGGAGUGGUUGGUCCUUGCUCAUUAACCUAUUUAUCCCACUUGGAUUUUGCCUCUGCUCUGUCAGCUCACUGGGAUGUGCUGGCCAGUGAAGCUUACCUCAAGCUCCACUGCCUGGGAGUCUUCCUCAGCCACAGUUACUCUACAGCUCAGUUGCCUUGUUGGUUCUGAUGUCAUGUUGAAUGUAGCACCAUGUUGAAUAGAGUACCACUGUGUGGUAGGGCCCUUUGGAUGCAGCACUAUGUUGGUGGUGGCAGCAUGUUAGAGGAAUUCCAUGUUGGAUAGAGUGCCACAUUGGCAGCAGUGCCAUGUUGGAUGUAGCACCAUGUUGGCUGUGGCACCAAGUAGACGGGGGCAUGUUGGUGGGCCAUCUGUGAUUACUGAGUGCUGCAUGGGCUCUCUAAAUGACUGCUCCAGGAAAUCCAGAACAAGCUGUCUACUCUGGGAUUUCUCAUCUCACCCCAAAACUGUGGGUCCUUAGUACACAUACUGUCCUUGGAAGUUCAAUCCUGAGAGAAGUGUGGAACUAGAGCCCCAUCUCUGACUUCUUCCUGUCUUCCAAAAAAUCGAAAGAAAGUAAAAAUCACCCAUCAUUCCACCCUACAUAGAUAGCUGCUGAUGAUAUUUGCAUAAUAAUAUUUUUAUUUGUGUGUACAUUUGAAUGAAAUGGUACACGUUAUACAUAAUGUUUUAUAAUAUUUUUAUUUAGUAGUAUAUUUGUCAGUCUUCACUGUGUGUGUGUAUGUGAUCUUAUUUAUUUAUUUUAAUUUUUCUUGAAAUAUAAUUGAUUUACAAUGUUGUAUUAGUUUCACGUGUACAGCAAAGUGAUUCACAUAUAUAUGUAUAUAUAUAUUCUUUUUUAGAUUCUUUUUCAUUAUAGUUUAUUACAACAUAUUGAGUAUAGUUCCCUGUGCCAUACAGUCCUUGUUUUUUAUCUAUUUUACAUAUAGUGGUGUGUAUAUUUUAUACUCUUUUUUUUUUUUUUUUUUUUUUUUGCGGUACGCGGGCCUCUCACUGUUGUGGCCCCUCCCGUUGCGGAGCACAGGCUCUGGACGCGUAGGCUCAGCGGCCAUGGCUCACGGGCCCAGCCGCUCCGCGGCAUGUGAGAUCUUUCCAGACUGGGGCACGAACCCGUGUCCCCUGCAUCGGCAUGCGGACUCUCAACCGCUGCGGAAGCCUCCUGCCGAAUAGCAAAAUGCCUAUCUUUCCUGACCUCGUCAUCAGUGAUCACAUGGUAGCCCUGGACAUCAACAAGUCCAUCUAGUCAACCAAGCUCCUGCUUCGGUUAUUGACUGUGGGAAGAUACUGAAGUUGGUGUGUAUGCAGUGGAAGCUGAGUAUCACAUGGAUAUUCAUAAACAGUUUUAUUUCCUUAAACGCAAGUCACCUUGCUCCACAGCAACAGUUCUAGGUCCAAAGUCAAAGGAAUCUAUUUAUUAGAAAUAAAAAUAUGUAAGUGAAAGUAGCAAUGUUACAUCUACUACUUAGUAGGUGUUUUCUUCAAGUAAAGCAAAACUCUUCAGUAUGUGUGUUUGCUUCAGUGAAAUUGUAUCAUCAACUUAGCCUCAAGUCCAGGAAUUGAAGAAGAAGGAGAUAAAUCUUUACCCAGUCAGCUCACUAUUAGAGAGGAAGAAAGCUUUAAUAACUUGAUGACAACAUCACUGUCAGUUGAACACUUUACUGCAGAACCUACGGAAAUAAAUCUGGCUCCUCCACUCACCUUUGCUGACUAUACUGAAAACGAAUGACUGUUUAGUAUCACAGAAGUACACGUAACAAUCGAGCAGCCCAUGUUACUUGGAAAUUAUGGUGCCCAUAAGUAUUAAAAUGUAAAACUUAAAAAAUUUGGCUACUAAAAUAAAAUAAUUAUAAUUAUUUAUAAAAAUAAAUAAUAAUUACUAUAUAAUAAUAAUUUUGAAAUAAUUUUUAAAUAAUUCUAAUUAAAAUUUGUAUUUGAACAAAAUGUGUUUAUGGUAUACCUCUGUUAUACACAAUUAAAAUUGUUAAAGGUAUCACCAAAUUUUUAUCCAAGAAGUUUGUACUAAUGUAAAAAGUAUGUACCAAUAUACAUUUUUAAGGCUCUGGAGAUGGACUACCUAAUUGUCCUCCAGAAAACAUGAGCCAGUUGAUUCUGCAACACUGAAGAAGAAUGUCCAUUUAUCUGUUGUUAAAGGAGAAUUUUUCAAAAAAGUUAUAAUAGUGAACAGGAAUAAAUAAUGGGCAUUUAUGAAUUGCAAAGUCUUCAUAGACAUUAACUUGCCUGGUCCUUUUAGCAUCCACGUAGUAGGGCAGGCAGUAACAGCUGCUGCCUCCAUUUUACAAAGGCAG
Molecule: long non-coding RNA, 15316 nt
Organism: Orcinus orca (killer whale)
Lineage: Eukaryota; Metazoa; Chordata; Mammalia; Artiodactyla; Delphinidae
Exons: 4
Source: RefSeq, a predicted model, not a curated record